This is a non-coding RNA of Triticum aestivum (bread wheat), 135 nucleotides long. The record is from Rfam. Lineage: Eukaryota; Viridiplantae; Streptophyta; Magnoliopsida; Poales; Poaceae.
UUUGUACUCCCUCCGUCCCAAAAUUCUUGUCUUAAAUUUGUCUAAAUACGGAUGUAUCUAGUUACAUUUUAGUGUUAGAUACAUCUGUAUCUAAACAAAUGUAAGACAAGAAUUUUGGGACGGAGGGAAUACUAC